Molecule: non-coding RNA, 3733 nt
Organism: Rhopilema esculentum
Lineage: Eukaryota; Metazoa; Cnidaria; Scyphozoa; Rhizostomeae; Rhizostomatidae
Source: RefSeq, a predicted model, not a curated record
CAUUGAAAAAAAUAAUUUAACUUAAAAUUUCAACUAGUUUAUUUCGGGCUAUUUAGUUUUUUCUACAAGUGAUUUCUAGCUCUAGGUACAAUCAAUGCCAAAAUUACUUGGAACACCUAACACUGCGCUGUGCUUUUCUAUUUCUGAUUUGUUUCCCCGAAUACAACUACUUCCGUCCCCCUUUCCCCCAGACCAGAACAAUGUUAGAGGUAUAGAAAAAUAUAAUACAAGCCACAAGGAAAAGCGUACUCCAUAACCUUCUUCUUUUUUCUAUACUAAAUCAACAUUGUACCUAGAAGGAGAGGGAGAUGGAUGAUUUUGCCUAGGAAAACUGACGUUGGUGUCAAUUUGAAAGAAUUGCGUUCCUAUCAAUUUAUAUAAAUUUACAGCGAGGACCUGACAUUUAUCUGGAUUUUCAAUCAUUUGAUUUUCUUCUAGCAAAGCCAGACCUAUGCUUCUUCUUCAAGCAUUCAGAUGUGGUAAGGUCCUUGAAAAAUAUGUUAGCAUGUUUCCAACAGGAAAGUUCAAAGCCUUACCUAUUUCAUAAGGAAACAAUAUCAUUUAUGUAAACGUUCAAAUGAAGAGAACCAAGGACAGAACCCUGCUGUACCAGAUAAUUUAAAACAAAAUACCUUCCUUAAACUUAAGGGAGGUUGCCCUGAAUAAAAUGCUGAUCAAAUGACAUUUUACCAGAGUUAAUUUCACGAGGGAUGUUGUUCAAUUUGAUUUCGCUAGGGAAUUCUUAUUUUAGCUGAUUUGGAUAAUUCUCAUUUGGGUGACAAUUGUCAUGCUUCGAAUUGGUAUUUAAGUCCAUUUUGUGCUUCUUUAAUGCCAUUGGGAAUAAAUUUUGAUUCAGAUGGGUGUAUUUAAUUGCUUUGGGUCGGGAUUAUCGUGCAUAUUUAGUAUGCUGUUUCCACGCUGUUCUCUCGUCACCACUGUGUUUGGCUAAGGCUUGUUGAAGAAGAGGUGGCUGACGAAGUAUGGCUUGCUGACCUCUACUGGCCACCAGCGGGAUUAGCCUUUACAACGAACUAGAUGCCAAAACAAAACGAGCCUCCGAUUUAAAAACUUUGGAGAGGAACCAAUGAAAACUUCCCUGCCUUAGAUGAUAUGGGUCUUUAAAAGCAAGUCAAGCAGACAGUUGAGGAUAUUUGAGCCAGAACAAAAUCAGCCAAGCAUCAAGUUGCUAAAAAGAAAGAUGUAUAGCCAAGCAUGAAAGGAAACAGCUACAAUAAAUGAGAUCAAUCUUGGCGAAGCAAUGAAACAAAAGUGAGUAAAAAGUCAGAUCAUUUGGGACUAACAGUCGUAAGUAAUCUCUUUGCAUUAGAUUUAUUAAUGCUAUAAAAUUAAUUUGAGUUGAAACAAAAACUGCACGAAACUUAAUAAUAGUAAUAAUAUUUUAAAUUCACAAAGGUUAAUUUGUUCAGUAAAUUAAAUUACUGGCAUCAAUCAAAGUCCUGUAUUUUACGUAAUAAAAGCUUGUAUUAACCAGAAUAAGAUUUUUUGAAUGUAUACGAAUGAAAGUUUAAAAAUUACAGAAUUAAAGUAAAGGAAUUUACAAGAAUGAAAUUUAGAUGAACUUGAAGAAAAUAGAAAAGAAAAUAUCUUAAUGUUUACAAAGUUUAAAAAUGAGAGACGAGAGUAUAAGAAAUUUCUGGCAUGGCAUGGAUAUAAAAGUAGGAAUAGCAGCCCAUUCACGCACAACCGGCAUUUAUUUGGAUUCUAAAGAAGAAUAACAGUAAAAAGAUUACUUUACAAUACUUUUCCGACGCGAUAAGCUCUUCAAGGUACCAAAUUGCGUCUUCACAUCUUCCUACAAGUUAAAGCUUUUAUCAAUAUAAUUGAGACUGAGAAAAGUUUGCGGUGGCAUGAAAUUCAUAAGCAGCUAGGCCCUCGACACAUGCAGGUGUAGAGUCAAGACCCUUAAUAAAGUGUAUACUGGUUAAAGGUACCCUAAGGUUAGUCAUGCAACAUAAUUAGAUUAUAGAAAUGUCCAACAGAAGAGCGAAAGAUUUAAUGCUUUUUAUUGGAUGUUUGCUUCAUAUGAUACUAUCUUUGCACCUUAUUAUGCAUCAAUAGCCCAGUUGUAAAAGCUUUACAAAGAACUUCACAAGGAAAAAAAUUAUUUCUUUAAGUCACAAAAUUUCAGUUUUCCACAGCCGAUAGCUUACGUAAAUUUCUAUAUUAAUGCGUUAUGCAUAAUGUAGAACUAUUAUAUUUCUGCAUAAAAAAGAAGAAAUUUUGGGGUAUAAAAAAUUGGAAAGAAAUGUUGAUCUUCAAGAGGGGGUGGCAACAGAAGCGCUAUAAUUUUGUUAGAUGCACAAGCACUACUUCAAAUAUCACUUGCUUAAAUGUUUGCUUCAUUUCCUCAGUCCAUUUCAAAAGAACAUCUUUUGCAAACCACCCCCCCUGAUGACUCUCUAGAAACGCUUUGUGUUGUUUAUCGCAAAUUAUUCAGCAUAAACUCACAAAAUUUGAAAAUGUUUGUAAUUCUCUACAGAUAUCUGGGGUGGCCACAUCUUACAGCCCCCAUAGCUGCUACGUUCAUGAUAAAGAGUCGUCAUAAAUGGAAAUUCACUUAUUAUAACCUUGGAAAUAUAAACUUAUCAGGGCUGUCGGGUAUUCGUCUAUUGCCAAAAAUUACUUGACAGGAAUUACUUGCUCAAAAAAUUAAUCUCUGAUGUUAUAUCACCGUCCCAUUAUUCGAUAGUGAUUCUCAAGUAACUUACUACCGAUAACAAUUUUGUUUUCACUAGACGGGAUUUUCACAUGGACUGUUCUUUUGGAUUGGUUGUCGGAACAAGUCGCAAAGUUAGAUUGCAGUGGGAGUUCUCCUUUCAUGGGGCCUGCAUUCCAAGCUUAACAAAAAUGUAGGUUCAAACUACAUUGCAUUUUGUAUGUACUUGUCACCAUUUACAGGUGUAACAAGAUUGGCCCUGUUGCAAACAUAGACAUGAUUGGAUUCUAUGAAAUAACAUCCAAAGCCUUACAAUUUUCUUCCACGAAAAGGGUGCAUUGAAGGUUGAAAUAAACUAGCAUACCUUUCUAUGCUCAAUAUGCACUAAUCAUAAAGAUAGAAAGACAUUGGGACUUACCAACAUUGAUGUAUGCUUCAGAAACAUCCAAAUACAAGUCCCCAACGUCUUCUAAAGAUUCUUUAAAUAACGGGCAAAGAACGCGCUGUGGGAGAAAGAGCAUCAAAAUAAUAUGCUGGAUGUUUUUUAGAAUGCUGGAUGUUUUUUAGAAGACUGUUCGGUAUUGGUGAGAGUAUUUCAAGGUAUUUUCUGGCAAGGUAUGUCAAGGUGUUUACUGGCAAGGUAUUUUCUCAAUCACUGAGCAACGAAAAGAAACAUAAAGAAUUUGUAGAUAUUAAGCAUUAUCGAUACAAAGGAAAUGGUAGAUAAAAUUACAAACAUAUAGUCAACACCUAUAUGUUUAAUGAACUGGCCACGGAUGAUCAAGGCAAAAUACAAAACCUCACACUUAUCAAACAUCAAGUAGUAUUGCAUCAUUUUUUUACUACUGACUACCAAAAAGUCCUUUUUACCGAAUCGAAGCUAAAUUUACCGAAGGAAACAAAAAUAUUGGGGGGAGAGAGGUAUCACACCCCUCAAAAACCCCCUGGCAUGUCUCUCCCUGUGAACAGCAUAUCAAUAAGUGGCUAGAUGAGUUUUGCGAGAGACCAAGUACAUGCUACCAGAAAUAAAGACGACAAACAAUGUUUACCUGGACG